RNAcentral lists this ribosomal RNA (447 nucleotides) under uncultured bacterium. Its description in RNAcentral is "SSU rRNA". It matches the Rfam family "Bacterial small subunit ribosomal RNA", at positions 26 to 518 of the family's 1533-position model. The record is from RNAcentral.
AGGAUGAACGCUGGCGGUCUGCUUAACACAUGCAAGUCGAACGGAGUAGCAAUACUUAGUGGCGGACGGGUGAGUAACGCGUGAGAAUCUACCUUCAGGACGGAGACAACAGUUGGAAACGACUGCUAACCCCCGAUGUACUGAAAAGGCAAAUAUUUAUAGCCUGAAGAAGAGCUCGCGUCCGAUUAGCUAGUUGGAGAGGUAAAAGCUCACCAAGGCGACGAUCGGUAGCUGGUCUGAGAGGACGAUCAGCCACACUGGGACUGAGACACGGCCCAGACUCCUACGGGAGGCAGCAGUGGGGAAUUUCCGCAAUGGGCGAAAGCCUGACGGAGCAAGACCGCGUGGGGGAAGAAGGCUCUUGGGUUGUAAACCCCUUUUCUCUGGGAAGAACACAAUGACGGUACCAGAGGAAUCAGCAUCGGCUAACUCCGCGCCAGCGGCCGC